UGGGGAAUAUUGCACAAUGGGCGCAAGCCUGAUGCAGCCAUGCCGCGUGUAUGAAGAAGGCCUUCGGGUUGUAAAGUACUUUCAGCGGGGAGGAAGGCGACAGGGUUAAUAACCCUGUCGAUUGACGUUACCCGCAGAAGAAGCACCGGCUAACUCCGUGCCAGCAGCCGCGGUAAUACGGAGGGUGCAAGCGUUAAUCGGAAUUACUGGGCGUAAAGCGCACGCAGGCGGUCUGUCAAGUCGGAUGUGAAAUCCCCGGGCUCAACCUGGGAACUGCAUUCGAAACUGGCAGGCUAGAGUCUUGUAGAGGGGGGUAGAAUUCCAGGUGUAGCGGUGAAAUGCGUAGAGAUCUGGAGGAAUACCGGUGGCGAAGGCGGCCCCCUGGACAAAGACUGACGCUCAGGUGCGAAAGCGUGGGGAGCAAACA
This 427-nucleotide ribosomal RNA is filed under the name uncultured bacterium. Its description in RNAcentral is "bacterial SSU rRNA". It matches the Rfam family "Bacterial small subunit ribosomal RNA", at positions 355 to 774 of the family's 1533-position model. The record is from RNAcentral.